CCUACGGGAGGCAGCAGUAGGGAAUCUUCCACAAUGGGCGAAAGCCUGAUGGAGCAACGCCGCGUGGGUGAAGAAGGUCUUCGGAUCGUAAAACCCUGUUGUUAGAGAAGAAAGUGCGUGAGAGUAACUGUUCACGUUUCGACGGUAUCUAACCAGAAAGCCACGGCUAACUACGUGCCAGCAGCCGCGGUAAUACGUAGGUGGCAAGCGUUAUCCGGAUUUAUUUGGCGUAAAGGGAACGCAGGCGGUCUUUUAAGUCUGUUGUGAAAGCCUUCGGCUUAACCGGAGUAGUGCAUUGGAAACGGGGAGACUUGAGUGCAGAAGAGGAGAGUGGAACUCCAUGUGUAGCGGUGAAAUGCGUAGAUAUAUGGAAGAACACCAGUGGCGAAAGCGGCUCUCUGGUCUGUAACUGACGCUGAGGUUCGAAAGCGUGGGUAGCAAACAGGAUUAGAUACCCUUGUAGUC
RNAcentral lists this ribosomal RNA (465 nucleotides) under uncultured bacterium. Its description in RNAcentral is "partial 16S ribosomal RNA". It matches the Rfam family "Bacterial small subunit ribosomal RNA", at positions 338 to 795 of the family's 1533-position model. The record is from RNAcentral.